CAAACAUAUAAAAUAUUUUCCUGCCCCAUGUAUAAAAUAAAUGGCUGCGGUAUCCUAACCGUACAAAGGUAGCAUAAUAAAUUGCCCAUUAAUUGUGGGAUAGAAUGAACGGAAUAAUGAGAAAGAAACUAUAUCAUCAGUAUAAAAAAAAAUUAUCACUUAAGUGAAGAGACUUAAAUAAAACUACAGGACAAGAAGACCCUAUAGAGCUUAAAUUAAACCAUUUACCAAAUUACUCCAUUUAGGUUGGGGCGACCGAAAAUAAAAACAUUUAAAAUACAAAGAUAUACAUAUCUAAAAUAAAGAUCCUACAAUAGAUCAAAGAACAAAGUUACCUUAGGGAUAACAGGCUAAUCCUAUUAAAAAGUCCAUAUUUACAAUAGGGAUUGGCACCUCGAUGUUGGCUUAGAGCAACUUUAACUAGCGCAGCAGCUAUAAAAGUAGGUUUGUUCAACCUAUAAA
This 462-nucleotide ribosomal RNA is filed under the name Marionina cf. nevisensis PDW-2010. RNAcentral describes it as "partial 16S ribosomal RNA". It matches the Rfam family "Bacterial large subunit ribosomal RNA", at positions 1838 to 2592 of the family's 2925-position model. The record is from RNAcentral. Lineage: Eukaryota; Metazoa; Annelida; Clitellata; Enchytraeida; Enchytraeidae.